Molecule: ribosomal RNA, 497 nt
Filed under: uncultured bacterium
Lineage: Bacteria
Description: partial 16S ribosomal RNA
Rfam family: Bacterial small subunit ribosomal RNA
Source: RNAcentral
GAUGAACGCUGGCGGCGUGCCUAAUACAUGCAAGUCGAGCGAACAGACGAGGAGCUUGCUCCUCUGACGUUAGCGGCGGACGGGUGAGUAACACGUGGAUAACCUACCUAUAAGACUGGGAUAACUUCGGGAAACCGGAGCUAAUACCGGAUAAUCUAUUGAACCGCAUGGUUCAAUAGUGAAAGACGGUUUUGCUGUCACUUAUAGCUGGAUCCGCGCCGCAUUAGCUAGUUGGUAAGGUAACGGCUUACCAAGGCAACGAUGCGUAGCCGACCUGAGAGGGUGAUCGGCCACACGGGAACGGAGACACGGUCCAGACUCCUGCGGGAGGCAGCAGUAGGGAAUCUUCCGCAAUGGGCGAAAGCCUGACGGAGCAACGCCGCGUGAGUGAUGAAGGUCUUCGGAUCGUAAAACUCUGUUAUUAGGGAAGAACAAAUGUGUAAGUAACUAUGCACGUCUUGACGGUACCUAAUCAGAAAGCCACGGCUAACUACGUG